AUGAAUCCCAGGCUCCUGGUUGGAACAAGAGGUCAGUGUCUCGGCGAUAACAUUAAAUUCAGCAUUCAUAGGAAGAUUUUCAGUACUAUAUUUCCAUGCUUUGUAAGGUUGAGGAUUGGAGCCUCUGCCCCAAGCUUGACACCUUGCCCAACCCGCAUAAGCGCUUUUGAGAAGGCCGUGAGUGUGUUCGUAGAAAACCCAACUGAAGAUAAGCCGUGGCUUGUAAUUUGGAUGAACUAA
This 240-nucleotide ribosomal RNA is filed under the name Triticum aestivum (bread wheat). RNAcentral describes it as "partial small subunit ribosomal RNA". The record is from RNAcentral. Lineage: Eukaryota; Viridiplantae; Streptophyta; Magnoliopsida; Poales; Poaceae.